AGGGAGCGCGGGCAGGGAGGAGGGGGCUCGGGCAGGGAGGAGGGGGCGCGGGCAGGGAGGAGGGAGCUCCGGCGGCCCGGCCGCAGCCUGCCGUGCACAGGGGUGGGCAGGCUGGAGAGGGUCCCACGUUUCCCCCUGACAAUGAAAGCUGACUUACGGAGAAUAGACACGGAAGGUCGGCCAGUUGCGGCUCAUGCAGCCAAAGCGCUCCGUUAGGGCAGGAGCUUUCUACCCGCGACAUUAGCCCGAAGUAUCAUCGGUAGUUUUGUUAACAAAGCUCUCUCAGUUCCACAAGCUCUGAGAACAGACGGCAGCGCUGAAGACGUGCAGCCACCUGUGCUGCCCGUACGUACUGUGAGCUACAGGGUACCCAAGAAAGGGAGUCACCGCAGCACUUCAGAGGAGUGGAGCUAUCUGCAGGGCCCACACACGGACGCAGCCAUGUUUUCUUUUUUGACAACAGUGGAGCAAUUUGAAUCCCUCCUAUCACCCCGCUCCCCCCCCCCCCCCAAAAAAAAGGGAAAAAAAGAAAAAGAAAAGUGGGAGGGAAAGGGGAAAAAGAGAAGGCGGCAGGCAAGGCUUCGAAGCAGCUGUAGCUAAAUAACCGCCUUGCCUGCCUUUUUUCUCUCUUUCAAUUUUUUCAAACAUAUCACAUGAGAAACUAUAGGAAGUGUAACAAGAUUUCUUUCCUCUGUAGAAAAGCUGAGCUACUUUGAGCUGAUCACCCCAUGAGCCAAAGAAAGGAGGGAUGGGUUCCUAUUAAACCAAACAUAGCUAGUGUGGUACCACCGUCUCCCUCUCCAAAGCAUACACAGGAUCAGCCCUGGUAUCUCAGGUUUUAUUAAUUUCUGAUGCUCGUCUUCACUGAGAAAUCAACACUCCACCUGUGCUGCUGGGAUCACUUCCUCACUAACAGAAGUGUUACUGGUUAUUCCUCAACAUUUGAUAUCCUUGGUGGCCAACUGAAGUCCUUCCAUGGUGGAAUCAACAUGAAAAGUUUCUGAAAUAAAAAACAAGAAGAAAUUCUGCUGAAAUAGAGCCACAGCACAGACCAUGGAAAGACUUUAAAAUUCAACCCUCAGACUGAGAAGAGUGCACCUGGUCUGACAUUUUUAAACAUCUCUUUUUCAUACUCAACUGUCACUUAUGGAGAACCAGCAGAUGAUGGAAGACAAAGUAAAAAUAAAUGCAAGGAGGAUGGAAAAGGAAGAGGAGAAAACUUGGAUGUCAAAACUAGAGACAGUAAGGACCUAACAAUCUCAAGGCUGAAAAAUAAUAAGAAGGGUAACACAGUGGGAAUUUUUUUCUCCACAUAUCACAAACACAAUAUAGCAAGCAGCCAUUCAGCCAAUACUACCAUAGUACAGCUACAUCUCACAACUCUUAUAGUACAUUGCAACAUUUUCCCAUGACAUUUACUCAGGAGCUGACAGGCCUCCAAGUUCUGGAACUCAUGUCAAGCACCAGCACAACCUGACAGUUACUUUUUUCCUGAGAGCUCCAGAAACACUGUUGUGGGUAGCUCUUAUUCUCCCUGGCAAUCAUACUCUCUGCUUACUUAAAUUUUGGGCCAGUUUUUCUGGGUAAGCACUGUAAAAAGGCAGGUGAAGUUUCCUGGUCCUAAUUCCAACAUUUCUUGUUUAAAAUGUGUUGUUAAAUGUCAAAGGAUAGAGAAUUUUUUAGAAUUAUUAUAAUUAUCAAAGUAGGAACUGGAAGAGGUUUGGCCAUAGGAUGGUAUUUUGUGUGGCAAUACUGGAAGCCUGCUUUAGUCUGCUUUGUGUCUUUUAGGUUACUUUUUUCAUGUCAGCCUAAAGAGUCCUGCUUGUCCCAGCUGUCUGUUCCUGCUCCUUUGCCCGUAUCUUGCUGGUAGUGUCGUUUUAGGACAUUUGUUUCAGCUCAGUGGUCCAGAUUGAAAACUCUUUGGAUGUUUCCAUGCAUUGCAUGAUAGAGCUGAACUGCCUCACUCUGGCUGCAGAAGCACUGUGUCCAGCAGAGGGAAGUGAUGGGAAUAGCAUGGCCAGGGAAAGGACGGGCAAUAACACACACCAUCAAGAGAUUUGUCUCAUUAAAACCACAGACCCUACCAGGCUGUCAUGGAGGAAGCCUUCCUGCAGGGAGUUUCUGACUGCCACGCUUCCAAAAGAAACAUGCCAGCUUUUAUGUCGCAGUAGUCCCACAGAUAAAUGCUUAAACUGAU
Molecule: long non-coding RNA, 2197 nt
Organism: Colius striatus (speckled mousebird)
Lineage: Eukaryota; Metazoa; Chordata; Aves; Coliiformes; Coliidae
Exons: 3
Source: RefSeq, a predicted model, not a curated record